RNAcentral lists this unclassified non-coding RNA (379 nucleotides) under uncultured bacterium. Its description in RNAcentral is "contains 16S-23S intergenic spacer region". The record is from RNAcentral.
UCCGAGUUGACCCCGGCAGUCUCCUAUGAGUCCCCGGCAUUAUCCGCUGGCAACAUAGGACGAGGGUUGCGCUCGUUGCGGGACUUAACCCAACAUCUCACGACACGUGCUGACGACAGCCAUGCAGCACCUGUCUCCAGGUUCCCUUUCGGGCACCGCUCCAUUUCUGGAGCGUUCCUGGCAUGUCAAGGGUAGGUAAGGUUUUUCGCGUUGCAUCGAAUUAAACCACAUCAUCCACCGCUUGUGCGGGCCCCCGUCAAUUCCUUUGAGUUUUAAUCUUGCGACCGUACUCCCCAGGCGGAAUGCUUAAAGCGUUAGCUGCGCCGCUGACAGGCAAGCCUGCCAACGGCUAGCAUUCAUCGUUUACGGCGUGGACUAC